GAUGAACGCUGACAGAAUGCUUAACACAUGCAAGUCAACUGUGGCGGACGGGUGAGUAACGCGUAAAGAACUUGCCUCACAGCUAGGGACAACAUUUGGAAACGAAUGCUAAUACCUGAUACUGUGAGAGAGCUUUGCGUCCCAUUAGCUAGUUGGAGAGGUAACGGCUCACCAAGGCGAUGAUGUGUAGCCGGCCUGAGAGGGUGAUCGGCAACAAGGGGAUGUAGAUACGGCCCUUACUCGUACGGGAGGCAGCAGGUGGGAAUAUUGGACAAAGGACCAAAGUCUGAUCCAGCAAUUCUGUGUUCACGAUGAAGUUUUCGGAAUGUAAAGUGCUUUCAGUUGGGAAGCGGUACCAACAGAAGAAGUGACGGCUAAAUACGUGCCAGCAGCCGCGGUAAUAC
This 404-nucleotide ribosomal RNA is filed under the name uncultured bacterium. Its description in RNAcentral is "partial 16S ribosomal RNA". It matches the Rfam family "Bacterial small subunit ribosomal RNA", at positions 28 to 526 of the family's 1533-position model. The record is from RNAcentral.